This 64-nucleotide transfer RNA is filed under the name Stichopus naso. Its description in RNAcentral is "tRNA-Lys". It matches the Rfam family "tRNA". From Rfam's summary of the family: Transfer RNA (tRNA) molecules are approximately 80 nucleotides in length. Their secondary structure includes four short double-helical elements and three loops (D, anti-codon, and T loops). The record is from RNAcentral. Lineage: Eukaryota; Metazoa; Echinodermata; Holothuroidea; Aspidochirotida; Stichopodidae.
CUUUAGGUAGCUUAAAUAAAGCUUCAGCCUCUUGAUCUGAAGAUGGGAGACUUCCCCCUAGAGA